This 11019-nucleotide long non-coding RNA is filed under the name Triticum aestivum (bread wheat). Its description in RNAcentral is "long non-coding RNA (TAES_LNC009430)". The record is from RNAcentral. Lineage: Eukaryota; Viridiplantae; Streptophyta; Magnoliopsida; Poales; Poaceae.
AAAGAGAUCCUAGACAUACUCAUUGGCUUCUUCUAACCCUUAGCAAAGGCAUGCUUGGUUGCAUUUGAGAUACGACGGAGAAAGAAGGCCACUAAGAAAAAUUGUUGCCUACUUCGACUUAAUGAAGUUUUAGAACUAUUGCUCCAGCACAUUCAACUUUAUUGGCAAGCAUGGUCUGAAUUAUAAGAAGUGUUAUAUGUCCAUUCUUAGAUCCUGGACACAUUGCAUUGUGAAGGACUGAAGUUGAGAACCUGGACACAUAGGGCGAAGCCAUUAACAAAACGAGCAGUUACAUGGAUCAUGUAAGAAGUCUUCUCCUUGAGACAAUGUAGCCAAUUGUGGAACCCCUGCUUUCCACGGCCACCGCCCGCCGCCUUGAUCUUUAUGCUAAUGGUGGAAUCCCUGCAGAACCAGCACAAGGCAUGCAUCAGUCACAAGGACACACAAUCAUCCCAGAUCAAGCAAAUAUGAUAAGAAUCCCAUAGGGCGGCCAAUUCUAAUAGGGAGCAAAAUAUGUCUCAACGGAAACAAAAAAUUAGUAGAAGUAGCAGCAGCACUCAUACUGGGCUAGGAUAGCUUCGGUUCUACUCUCUUUGACUUUUCAGCCGCAUACACAUUGAACGUCGCCUAAAUCUCAUGACUUCUGUGCUCUAAUCUCUCAACCAUUGGAACAAGUAUGGUAGUACCUUUCCCACCUCUCUCUUUUCACAAAAAAAUGCCAAACAAAAAUUAAAUCUUAGAGGAAUGCUCAGAGACAAACCUCAACCGGCUACAUGAAAAAAAUUAGGAACUGCCAACGAACCAACAAAGAACCUGGACAGGCAAGGAAACGAGAAACAAAACUGUGUCAGCUCUCAGACAUUUUACCGAAUAGGAGACAAGGAAGAAAGAGCUUAGCGAGAAGCAAGCCAAACGAUGAACUAUGGACUGACCGAUCCUUCACCAACAAUGGAAGGAGUGAGCAAAAGAGGAAAACCAAGCACAUAACAUAGGAAACGUAGUGUAUAAUCAUAAUAGCUAGCUAUCUAAUGGAGAGGUAAGCACAUUAAAUUAGCUGACAGGGAAAACUUCAUAGGUUUUGCACCAGCCAAAUAAAAGAAUGUGCCUGUUGGGAAUAUUAGCACUGGGCGUAAACCGGCCAGGAGAGGCCGGGUUAACUCCAUAAGUAGUUCAUCUGUAUUUGAAGUCCAUGAAGACAGACGGUGACGCUUUAUGGAGGCCCAGGGCCCAAAGCCGGUUUAAGGCCUAUAGACAUAAACCGGCAUUGAUAUGUAAACUUGUAUUGUAAGAUAGAAGUAGCACAGACCGAGCCGGACACAAUUAUGAGCCGGCCUCGGGAUUCUGUAAACCGACGGGCAUCAACCCAUGUAUAUAAGGGGACGACCCGACGGCGGUUCAGAAACAACAGACAACAACUCAAGACUCAGGCAAAGCGUAUUCGCUUCCUGGUCAUCGAAACCCCAGCAAUUCCAUCACAACUAGACGUAGGCUUUUACCUUCAUCGUAAGGGGCCAAACUAGUAUAAAACUCUCUUGCGUCCCUUGUCCGCUUUAACCCCUUUAAGUUAACCCGGAGGGAUGGCUCCACGACUAAGUCCUUUCUCUAGGACAUCUGCCGUGACAAAACCACGACAGUUGGCGCCCACCGUGGGGCUAUCGCACGAUGGUUUCAAGUUCUUGGAGGGCAACUUCGAAGGACUCAAGGGUUACGCUGUGGUCCGGAUGACCAAGAGUUGUCGCGGCAAGCUCUACAUCGACGAUGCAGGCUGGGGCCCCGAGGCCGGCUCAAUCGAGUACGGGUACCGGGUCCCCUUUGGUGGCAUACACGUUUUCAUUGGCAAGAUCGGCGAACCGGGCCCUGAGCCGGACAUCUGCACCGACCUCGUCGAAAUGGCUCAGCAUGCGAGAUCUGCCCGGGUCAAGCCUGUCAUGAAGCGUGCCUUCGUGGGAGUUAUCCAUGGAGGGGAAUCUGAGGAUAGAUCGGAAUCUGGUGGUGAGACCGUCGUUUAUUCCGGCGACGAGUCAUCGACCGAAGAGACCGAGUCAUUAUAUCAGUUACAAGAUGGCCGGAUUGGGGGCUGUUCCGAUGGCGACAGUAUUCCGGACCCCUUUGAUCUACCAAACUGGGUUGCGAUCUUCACGGCCGGUACGCAACCGGCGCUCUACUCUUCGACCGCAGCGGCGAUGAUUUCCGGAUCGACAGCGGCAACAGCGGCUGGGGCAGGAGGCCCUGUGCGACCGCCAGCUCAGGUUCUAUCGGAUUUGUUUGACGCGUUGGCAACGCUGAUGGCGGAGGUUAACCCGGCGGAUCAGGAUGCACACAAUGCGGAAAUCGCGAAAGUGAAAGAUCAGACCACCCAGGCCAAAGCCGACUUAGCAGCUGAGGAUACCAGGAUGGCCGUGGAGGGGGCCGCUUUGGAUGCACAAGCUUACCAGAUUAUGCUGGAUCAGAGUGCGUCGAACAAAGUCCUGAAGAGGAGGUACAGAUCUCGCCUGUCGCCGGUUUAUGAUGCUAGAAAUCUCUUUAACACCCCAGGAGCAGGGACCAGUAAUCCGCCGGUGGUAAACCGGGCGGAGGCACCUGGAGCAGGGGCGCCGGUUCAGCCACGUUUGGUGGAUCCGCCUCGUCAGAGCAACAUUAUAACACCGCAUGUCCCCACGCCGCCGGGUCAUUACUCUAACCGGAUGGACAACAUUGUCGCUGCCGCUUCACAGCUGGCGGCCAUCCCGAUUGAAGGCGAUUCUCCGGCGGUGGUCGAGACGCGCCGGGUUAAGGAGCUUCUUCAGACAGCCUUGGUUCAACAGGAGGCUUAUUCAUAUAGUCGCGAUCGGAUUCAUUCCACUCCCCGUCUAAGCCGGAGUUACAGCAGGCGUAUGGAUGAACCGGUAGUGUCAAGCAAUGCGCGGAACCGUGAUCCGCCCCGUGGCAAUAACCCGGCUUGGUUGUAUCCGAACCAUAGCUACACCUCUUGAUCGGCGCAAUGCCACAUCAUCACUUGGGGGCUUGGUCGUAUCCGAACCACAGUCACACCUCUUGAUCGGCUCAAAGCCACAUCAAUCUGGGGCCAAAGAGAGUGUUGUAAAACAACAACUCAAACAUAGGCACCCACUGAGCACAGCUCACAAUGUUGCUUGGGGAUUCUUUGCUGUCGAAAUGAACUAAGAAUCUACACUUGUAACAGGCUAUCAAGCCAUGGCUUGGAAGCCUGGUGUAUAUACCUAAAACCCCGGGUUAACCUGCCUAUUUAAGUAAGUCACUCCGCCCAGGUAAACCUGCUAUGACCCUUCGAACUUUGACAAGUUACUCUAAAAUGAAGACCCUGAACUUGUCAAGUUAAAACGAUGAUUGGUUAAGGAUUGAGGACCAUCUUAAAAGGCUUUGCAAAAAUGGUUUAACUCAGUGGCCUGGCAGCCCAUGAAAAGCCUCGAAUUUGGGGCGUGGCAGCCCGUGAAAAGCCUCGACUACAACGGUUUUUAUUUGCCUUUUUCUAAGUUUUCUUUGUUUCAUAAGAUUUGUGAUGUUUUUACAACCGGUGUUUAUCAACCCGGUUAGGCUGUCAACUACAAGUUGUCAGUACACGAUCAAAUUAUAAUCCGGAGACUAUCAGCCCGGUCUGGUUUUGACUCAAAGUCACCAGUAUGGAAUAAACCAGUGUUUAUCACAGCCCGGAACGGUUUUCUGAUAAACCGGCAUCAUAUAAUAGGAGUUACUUCUACUCCGGAUUAGGGUUAUUACCCUCAUGACAAAGUUGGUCAACCAACACUAUGCCUAAAGGUCACAGGUAUCAUAUAUUUCCAUAUUUGGUUAUCUUUUACAACCUUGGUUAUAAACCUUGGUCAUAUAUAUAUUUGGGUAUCAUGACCCGCCCGGUGGUAAACCGCCAGGGCGCUUUAAGCUUCUUAUCUGCAGGAACAACUUGAAUAAAUAGCUAGGGAUUAUGAACAUUAUAUCUUAAGCAUGGCGGAUUAACACGCAUCAGUUGCAGAUAAAUAUGCACGAAGGCAUAACAGACCAAGUGUUUUAACUAGCCUAUUACAAGGCGUUUCAGUGCCCAAAGGGAUAAUUGUUUCUCAAUAAGCAUUGCAGCACGUGGAAGACUAAACCGGCCCCCGGAUUAUGAUUGCUUAUCAGCUUGACCUGACGGCUGCGGAUCAUCUUGCACCUGUUCAUAUUCUUCGUCUCUACCCAGUGGCUGGAAGUCAACAUUUGUCCAGUCGAUCCCAGUUAAAGCUUGGAACACAGCUUCGUCGCUUAUAAGGGUUGACGGUUCAAUAUCAGGGGCAUAAGUGUGCUUACGGAUUGGAGGGAUCAGAUUUUGUGCUUCAGGAGUUGGUGCAGCAACCCGUUUGUUAUUGGUGUCAUAGCUCGCCUGGUAAAAAGAAAGAUCAGCUUCUUCAGCCAGUUGACAAGCCAGUGGACGUACUUCCCAGUUUAUGGCGCGGAGAUCCUCCUGAUCAAAUUCUGAUCGGUCUUCUUUUAAGCUGGGAUAGCCUUUAGCCACUUCCACCGGAUCAAGGUCAGGUACCCAUGCUUUUGCCCGGGUUAGUGCGGUCAAAGAGCUCUUCUACCCGGGCAGGCAGCAUCGACAACCUUGAUAAGGUUUCCUUAAUUAAAGUGGGGGGAGGCUUGUUGUGUGAAGCGGCACAGAUGAUCCGUUGUGCACCGGUAUAUAACUGCUCUAUUAGCGUGUAGGCGGCUUUCAACUUCUUCUGUACAUCAGAGCCCAGAUGGCUAAUGCGAGUUCCUGCACCAUUGUACACAUCAGUAAACCGACAACACAUGGGAGAGAUAUGUUGAAAGUAUUAAGGAAAAUAUAUUUUACCGAACACAGCAGCAGUCAUGGCAUGAAUCUGCCGCUUUACGCCGGUCAGUUCAUCAACCACCGGUUUAAGAGCGGCUUCUGCUUUUUCAGCCCUUUUUAUCAAAGCGGAUUUUUCAGUCUCCCAAACCGCCCGCUCUUUGUUGAAGCCCUCUUUCAGUUUCUCCAUAGCACCUAGAGCGCAGGUCAAUUCUUCCUUCGCUUUGGAGGUUUCAGCUUGUAGGGACUUGAGGUUCUCUUGCAGAUCAGCGGUUUGGCUUUCCUUCUUGCUCAGUUCAGCCUAUAAAGACACAGAUAUAUAAUGAGUUGACAGUACAUAUUUGAAGUACCAAGCACAUAACAAGUUAUGCCCUUAGUACUUGGGGGCUAAUGCAUAUUUGCUCUUAAUCAAAAAAUUUUACAAGUCCCAAGCACAAUACAAGUAUUAAGCUUGGCACUUGGGGGCUAAUGUGUAUUUGCUCAUAAAAUGCUGAUAUGGGAAUUCUUCUACAAAGUCCCGGUUCAUCUUUAUAAAGUUAAACCGGCCCUUGGGGGCUACAUCAGUGAAGUUAAGAUGCAUUGUUGCAAACAUGAAAUUGUUACUAAGUCCCGGUUUAAAUUGGUAUCUUAAACCGUCACUCGGGGGCUACUGGAGUUGAUAAACUGCAAUUAAAUACAAGAGAGAAACACUUAUGAAGUUACCUCAUAUCGCUCCUUCAUCAUAUUUACCAAACCGGCUUCAUAGUCACGGCUGGUUUACAGACGGUUCAGGAAGCCAGAGUGAAGGUCUUGAGCAUUCAGAUGGGCAUAAUUUGACAAAUCGGCAUUCCAUUUGCCUUUGCCAAUUGCAGAGAGCUCAUCUUUGGAGUAUGCUUUGACAAAGCGACAGGAUUGCCCGGAGCGGUAUGGCCAGUGCCAGUAAUCAUAAUGUCAUCAUCUUUGUCAUCAGCAGCCGUUACUGGGGUUGGCGGUUUGUCAUUAUUUUUAACUGGACUUGCCGGUUUAUUGUCAGUCCGGACAGGGCUUGUUGGCUGGUCAGCAUGGCUUGUGGUGUCAACUUCUGCCUGCUCAGCAACGAAGUCAUGAUCUUGAGGCGGUGGGUCAUUCAGUAUGGCAUCAAUGUUGGUCUCUUCAGGAUCUGGAGUUUUCUCCAGUUCAACAGCCACGUCUUCAUCAGCCGGUUUAUUCAACCGAGCUUUCUUGCUGGGUCUGGGCUUGGCGCUGAGAAAAAUAAACAUGAGGAUCAGUACAGUAUAUCAAAAUAGCAACAUCAAGGAUAACAACAAGUGUAUAGCUCACCCAAGAACCGUUUUGAGGGGUGGAAGUUUUGUGGCCGACGACUCGCCAGAAGAUGAGUGAGAAGUGCCCUGAUAAUUUGAAUCAGACGGGUUAAGAGGCUGGCGGAAACAACCUGCUUUGGGGCAUGAAGUAUCAAUGGGAUAAGAGACCUCUGAUCGGUGUUUCUGAACCGGACUGUUCCGUAAACCGGCGGAGGCAACUACCUGGCCACUGUGCCGGGUUGUGUGGCGAGCCUCGUGCUGCUGCGUCUUCAAAAGAAAGUUUGGGUCCAAGUAAGCAAGGGGGUGAGAAAAUUUUACUUUCCGGUUUGCUUGACGGAUUUUUGAUGUUGGCAGAGGAUCUGAAUCGGCGGAAAGAAUGGUUACCUCUACGUCAUCAGCAUGACUGCCUUCAGCGUCGUCCUGAUAAUAAUCAUUGUCAAUGAGAUGUACGGAAAAUGAAUCAAGAGAGUCAAGUUCUACCUUUGAUUCCGGAUUACCCACAUCGUCAUCAGCUGGUAGCUCGGAGGAUGCAGUGGUCCUUUUCUUGGCAGGUUUUUUGAUAACCUUGGUCUUUGGUUGAACUGGCUUGACCGGUUUAUCUUGCGGCUUGACCGGUUUGUCUUGUGGUGGUUUCUUGCUCCAGAAUGGAUCAUCACCUUGUCAGAAAAUAAUCACACUUUCAGAGAAUAUUUGGACAAAAACAACUUCAGAUAAAAAGAUUAUAUGAUUCUUACAGCUGGCGGUUUGUUGAAAGCGCAGAAAGGGAGUAGUCCGGUUUGGGCACAGACAGCCUCCGUUUCGUUCAGCAUUUUCUUUACAGCCUCAGUGACUUCUGCAUCUGUAAGCUGAAUGUCAAUGUGCCGCUGAGCAUCCUUCAAACUCCCCGUAUACUCACACAUCAAACCGGAGUGCCGGCUUAAGGGCAGAAUACUCCAGCUUAUCCAGCAACGAGCAAGAUCAACUCCUGUCAAACCAUUCGCCAUGAAGGCUCUAAGCUUUGAUAAUUGGGGAGCAUAGUUGACCCUUUCUUUUGCCGUCAACCUCUGAGGAAAAGGAUGUGUGUUGCUAAGGCGUUCAGGGCGGUAACCCGGCAGGGGGUUUUCAUCAGGUGGAGAUGUAUCCAUGCAAUAAAACCAAGUCUGGUUCCACUCUUUGGGGUGACUGUGGAGUUUGGGAUCAGGGAAGGUGACUUCCUUCCUUUUCUGAACCGCCAUUCCGCCCAAUUCCGUAUUGGGUCCAUCCGAGAACUCUGUGCGACGGUUUAAGUGAAAGAAAUCCCUAAACAGUUCGACUGUAGGUUCCUCUUGCAGAUAGACCUCACAGAAGACUUGGAAGUGGCAGAUGUUGGUCACAGAAUUGGGACCGAUGUCCUGAGGGCGCAGCUGAAAAUUGGCUAGUACAUCUCGGAAAUUUUUUGAACCGGGAGGGCUAAAACCUCGACUCAGAUGGUCAGCAAACACGACUACCUCUCCGUCCUUGGGUGUAGGAGGAUUUUCCGGGCCAGGGACCCUCCAGUGGAUGACAUCUUUCUUGGCUAAAGCGCCCGUUUUAACAAGAUUGUUUAACUGUUCUUCGGUUACUCGAGAAGGAGCCCAAUUGCAUUCAUAGAUUUGCUUAGCCAUGGCAAUGAAAGAUCUGAAACAUGAUUAUUGCCGGUUUAAGAUUUACAGUGGACAACUAUACAACGGUAUAAGGAUACAAGCAUAUUGAUAAACCGGAUUUGGUUAUUCAUAAACCGGAGUCUGACAAUGGAAACAAUGUAAUGCAUUGGCGGUUCAACAGGGGACUAAUGGUAUCUACCGGGUCAUCAUUUUUUCUGUGAAGGGCAUUAAAGGUAUAAGUAUCAAGAUGUAUAAGUGAAGGAAAAAAACAAGUUUCACAGUUUGGCAUGGGAAUUUCAGAUCCGCCGUGCGUUGGAUAAUCAAAAUAUACUUUGGUCUAAUAUCAAACGCUCAAAAAGUUCAGUAAGUUCAGAUGAGCUGGAUAUCAAGCAGGUGCCUUAACAAGAAGAAAGGAUUCUAAACUACAAAAGGCGCUGAAAAUAGUCAGAUCUAACCGGCCAUUGGUGCUACCGAAGGAAGAAUAGCUUCAAGCUAUGAAGAACAUCGAACCCUAAUGGCGGAUCUAGGGCGAGAAGAAGAGGGGCUUACUGGUGCAGGAGGAAGCAGCGGAGGAUCACCGCUUUUCUCUGAUACGAGCAGGUUGAUGCAGCGGCCUUUGUCGAAGCAGAGACGAAGGACGACGACGGUGGCAGAGCUCGAGGGUCGGUCGGCGCGAGGAAGACGACGGCGCGAAGAGGCACGAGGGGGGAAAAUGGAAAGACCCCCUGGCCCUAUUUAUAAGGGUAGAAAGAUAAGCGUCAGGCGCGAAAAUCGAGGAGCCUAAAUUUUGGAUAUGAGGCGGAGCUGUCGCCUCGAUUGUCGGAGGCUCAUUAAUGGAGGUGGAUUAUACACAGUUUUAAGUAACAGGUGAUGUCAUGGCGGUUUACCAUGAUCCUAGAAGAUGAUAUCACGGCGGUUUACAAGAUCAUAUGAAGAUGUUGAAGAAGAAAAUUUCUUAAGUAUUGAGGAUUGACAUGAACCAGUUCAAAUCAAUCUGGGGCCUAAUGUUGGGGAUAUUACCACUGGGCGUAAACCGGCCAGGAGAGGCCGGGUUAACCCCAUAAGUAGUUCAUCUUUAUCUGAAGUCCAUGAAGACAGACGGUGACGCUUUAUGGAGGCCCAGGGCCCAAAGCCGGUUUAAGGCCUAUAGACAUAAACCGGCAUUGAUAUGUAAACUUGUAUUGUAAGAUAGAAGUAGCAGAGACCGAGCCGGACACGAUUAUGAGCCGGCCUCGGGAUUCUGUAAACCGACGGGCGUCAACCCAUGUAUAUAAGGGGACGACCUGGCGGCGGUUCAGAAACAACAGACAACAACUCGAGACUCAGGCAAAGCGUAUUCGCUCCCUGGUCAUCGAAACCCCAGCAAUUCCAUCACAACUAGACGUAGGCUUUUACCUUCAUCGCAAGGGGCCGAACUAGAAUAAAAUUCUCUUGCGUCCCUUGUCCGCUUUAACCCCUUUAAGUUAACCCGUAGCGAUGGCUCCACGACUAAGUCCUUUCUCUAGGACAUCUGCCGUGACAAAACCACGACAAUGCCCAUGCGGUUUGCCCACAUUAGAUGCAUACAUAACUAAAACUCCUAGUAUAUGAUCCAUGUCCUGCUCGAUGGCCUUGGAAUUUAAGAAUUGAGCUCCAGGUUGCCCAUAAAAAGGACACUAAAAGAACUCACAACUGCAACAAAGUGGCAAGCCCUGCUUAAGAAAAAUGCAGCAACAUCACAAACAAAAAGAAGAAUCGAAAGAUUAUAUAUAUGUACUUGCUUUCUCUGUAUCUAGAGUUGCAGCCUACCCUCGCUCAUCGCAGGAACAGCAGUAGAACCGUUGCUUCCAAAAAUUGGAAAAAGGACUGUAUUUGUGCUUCUAAUCUGAGCUUCUACAUUAUCAAAUUCACUCUGCACAUACUCUUUUACACCCAUUGUUCCACUCAAUAAUCGUGUUCCUGCAAGCAUGGGCUAGAGGCAUAAAAAUUCAAUAACCACUAAUCCACGAAAAACGAAGCUCGAGUCUCGACAGCUCCAAAUUUUCAAUUCAGCCAACAUCAAGACUCUGGAGUAUAACUCAAAUGGUCAGAAAGUUCGGGGCACCAUAAUGGUUCAGCACAAGUAGUUAGCACUCACCCUUCAUUCCGUGAAAAUGGACAUAUGUUACAUAUAAUGCAGUAAUGUGUUAACAGAUUUCUUCUCGUUGCUCUUGGGAGACAGACCUACGUGACACAAAUAUAGAAGAUCGUAUAGAACCAAGAUCAAUUGUGAACUAAUUCAGUCUUCAUCUAUCUGCAACAUUAUCAUCCCACAAAAAAAACUAAUUAUACCACCAUAUGUUUAUACUAACCACAUCAGAAAGAUAUUAGAUCAAAACGGCCAAGAAAGCAUCAAUGAAGUUUAAAGAGUCUACCUUCUAGAUCAACAUUGGAUUGUAGACUUGAUAGCGAAAUCAGUUAUUGCAAGAGCAUGAUCCAGCAGAUCAUUUUUUAUACCUAGAACAUGACCUUAGUUACAAUCAUCUGUCAAGAACAAUUUCAUAUCUGCAUUUAGUCAUACAAACAAAUAGAAUCCUAUAUUUUAAUGAAUGAGGGAAAACAAGAUAAAGCCAAUUUGAAACCGGUAUUAAAAUGACAUCACGCAUAAAAGGACCUUCUCUAGCCCCAUGAUGCAUCGAUAUCUGAGUACCACAGGAGCUCUAACAUCUGAAUGGAAAAAUCCAAAGACCACAUCACUAAAUAGCUCUCAUAUUUGAACUAAAUCAUUUUCUUUCAUUAUAACAAUUAGUAGUCUACGAAUUUAUAGAAGUCGAAGCGGUACAAAUAAAAGUGAAAUCACUGUUAUAAUGGCACCUUACCAUCCACAAAUCAUUAGCUGUAUAGUCCUAAUGCAAAAUUUACAACAUAAACUUUCUAGAGCAGAGAAUGAAGAAGACUCAGCGAUUCUGAAAUUACUAAUAUGGUAUGAAUUGUUUCCUAGGGAUUAGUAUAGAAACACAUUUAGAUUCAAGAAAACAGCUGAAAGUGACGACUUCUCUUCUAAUAUGUGUGAUAAUUUGAACUCCUGGAACUCGAGAUACUAACAAUUUUUAAACAAGUUUAAGAAAGUGAACUAACAGUGUUUCAUUAGACUCAAAAAAUCAAACCAUUUAGUUGAGUAGUGCUUCUUUUAUCAUCAGCACAUACACCUGCUAAUAAUCAGCUUAUGAAUUAUCCAAAGGAAUCAAUAAUGUCAGGCACCUUAUAUUUAGAUAAGUAUCCAGGCAUCUCAAUGGGGACCUGCAGGUCGCCGUUGAGGUCCUGUCCAGGCAAACGCCGCGGAGGUCCGUUCCCGACACACAAAAGGGCCGACAAGGAAGGA